Molecule: ribosomal RNA, 1568 nt
Filed under: Salmonella enterica
Lineage: Bacteria; Pseudomonadati; Pseudomonadota; Gammaproteobacteria; Enterobacterales; Enterobacteriaceae
Description: bacterial LSU rRNA
Rfam family: Bacterial large subunit ribosomal RNA
Source: RNAcentral
GCUGGAGGUAUCAGAAGUGCGAAUGCUGACAUAAGUAACGAUAAAGCGGGUGAAAAGCCCGCUCGCCGGAAGACCAAGGGUUCCUGUCCAACGUUAAUCGGGGCAGGGUGAGUCGACCCCUAAGGCGAGGCCGAAAGGCGUAGUCGAUGGGAAACGGGUUAAUAUUCCCGUACUUGGUGUUACUGCGAAGGGGGGACGGAGAAGGCUAUGUUGGCCGGGCGACGGUUGUCCCGGUUUAAGCGUGUAGGUGUGUGUUCCAGGUAAAUCCGGUUCACUUUAACACUGAGGCGUGACGACGAGGCACUACGGUGCUGAAGCAACAAAUGCCCUGCUUCCAGGAAAAGCCUCUAAGCAUCAGGUAACAUCAAAUCGUACCCCAAACCGACACAGGUGGUCAGGUAGAGAAUACCAAGGCGCUUGAGAGAACUCGGGUGAAGGAACUAGGCAAAAUGGUGCCGUAACUUCGGGAGAAGGCACGCUGACAUGUAGGUGAAGUGAUUUACUCAUGGAGCUGAAGUCAGUCGAAGAUACCAGCUGGCUGCAACUGUUUAUUAAAAACACAGCACUGUGCAAACACGAAAGUGGACGUAUACGGUGUGACGCCUGCCCGGUGCCGGAAGGUUAAUUGAUGGGGUCAGCGCAAGCGAAGCUCCUGAUCGAAGCCCCGGUAAACGGCGGCCGUAACUAUAACGGUCCUAAGGUAGCGAAAUUCCUUGUCGGGUAAGUUCCGACCUGCACGAAUGGCGUAAUGAUGGCCAGGCUGUCUCCACCCGAGACUCAGUGAAAUUGAACUCGCUGUGAAGAUGCAGUGUACCCGCGGCAAGACGGAAAGACCCCGUGAACCUUUACUAUAGCUUGACACUGAACAUUGAGCCUUGAUGUGUAGGAUAGGUGGGAGGCUUUGAAGUGUGGACGCCAGUCUGCAUGGAGCCGACCUUGAAAUACCACCCUUUAAUGUUUGAUGUUCUAACGUGGACCCGUUAUCCGGGUUGCGGACAGUGUCUGGUGGGUAGUUUGACUGGGGCGGUCUCCUCCUAAAGAGUAACGGAGGAGCACGAAGGUUGGCUAAUCCUGGUCGGACAUCAGGAGGUUAGUGCAAUGGCAUAAGCCAGCUUGACUGCGAGCGUGACGGCGCGAGCAGGUGCGAAAGCAGGUCAUAGUGAUCCGGUGGUUCUGAAUGGAAGGGCCAUCGCUCAACGGAUAAAAGGUACUCCGGGGAUAACAGGCUGAUACCGCCCAAGAGUUCAUAUCGACGGCGGUGUUUGGCACCUCGAUGUCGGCUCAUCACAUCCUGGGGCUGAAGUAGGUCCCAAGGGUAUGGCUGUUCGCCAUUUAAAGUGGUACGCGAGCUGGGUUUAGAACGUCGUGAGACAGUUCGGUCCCUAUCUGCCGUGGGCGCUGGAGAACUGAGGGGGGCUGCUCCUAGUACGAGAGGACCGGAGUGGACGCAUCACUGGUGUUCGGGUUGUCAUGCCAAUGGCACUGCCCGGUAGCUAAAUGCGGAAGAGAUAAGUGCUGAAAGCAUCUAAGCACGAAACUUGCCCCGAGAUGAGUUCUCCCUGAGACUU